Long non-coding RNA from Pogoniulus pusillus (Red-fronted tinkerbird), 621 nucleotides. RefSeq lists it as uncharacterized. The record is from RefSeq and is a predicted model, not a curated record. The transcript is spliced from 5 exons. Lineage: Eukaryota; Metazoa; Chordata; Aves; Piciformes; Lybiidae.
GAGAAGAGGAGUGGCGUCAGGCUGGAAAAAGGAGACGGGCAAGGCCCUCUGGGCAAAGGGCCUGGCCCCUGACCGAAGCGGUAGCUGGCACCGACAGUGGAGGAGGCGUGGCACGGAAUGGCGUGGUAAGAGGAGUCGAGAAGAGGAGUGGCGUCAGGCUGGAAAAAGGAGACGGGCAAGGCCCUCUGGGCAAAGGGCCUGGCCCCUGACCGAAGCGGUAGCUGGCACCGACAGUGGAGGAGGCGUGGCACGGAAUGGCGUGGUAAGAGGAGUCGAGAAGAGGAGUGGCGUCAGGCUGGAAAAAGGAGACGGGCAAGGCCCUCUGGGCAAAGGGCCUGGCCCCUGACCGAAGCGGUAGCUGGCACCGACAGUGGAGGAGGCGUGGCACGGAAUGGCGUGGUAAGAGGAGUCGAGAAGAGGAGUGGCGUCAGGCUGGAAAAAGGAGACGGGCAAGGCCCUCUGGGCAAAGGGCCUGGCCCCUGACCGAAGCGGUAGCUGGCACCGACAGUGGAGGAGGCGUGGCACGGAAUGGCGUGGUAAGAGGAGUCGAGAAGAGGAGUGGCGUCAGGCUGGAAAAAGGAGACGGGCAAGGCCCUCUGGGCAAAGGGCCUGGCCCCUGAC